This 73-nucleotide transfer RNA is filed under the name Neotoma lepida (desert woodrat). It matches the Rfam family "tRNA". Rfam says of the family: Transfer RNA (tRNA) molecules are approximately 80 nucleotides in length. Their secondary structure includes four short double-helical elements and three loops (D, anti-codon, and T loops). The record is from Rfam by way of RNAcentral. Lineage: Eukaryota; Metazoa; Chordata; Mammalia; Rodentia; Cricetidae.
AUAGAGGUGGCUCAGUGGUUAAAAGCACUGAUUGCUCUUGAAGAGGACCUGGGUUCAAUUCCCAGCAUCCACA